UACAGAGGGUGCAAGCGUUAAUCGGAAUUACUGGGCGUAAAGCGCGCGUAGGCGGCUGCUUAAGUCGGAUGUGAAAUCCCCGGGCUCAACCUGGGAACUGCACUCGAUACUGGGCGGCUAGAGUAUGAGAGAGGGAGGUAGAAUUCCACGUGUAGCGGUGAAAUGCGUAGAUAUGUGGAGGAAUACCGGUGGCGAAGGCGGCCUCCUGGCUCAAUACUGACGCUGAGGUGCGAAAGCGUGGGGAGCAAACAGG
Molecule: ribosomal RNA, 253 nt
Filed under: uncultured bacterium
Lineage: Bacteria
Description: partial 16S ribosomal RNA
Rfam family: Bacterial small subunit ribosomal RNA
Source: RNAcentral